UGGGGAAUUUUGCACAAUGGGGGAAACCCUGAUGCAGCGACGCCGCGUGAUUUAGAAGGCCUUCGGGUUGUAAAAAUCUUUUUUAUGGGAUGAAAAUGACAGUACCAUAAGAAUAAGGUCCGGCUAAAUACGUGCCAGCAGCCGCGGUAAUACGUAUGGACCGAGCGUUGUCCGGAAUCAUUGGGCGUAAAGGGUACGUAGGCGGCCUAGUAAGUUAGAAGUGAAAUAAUAUAGCUCAACUAUAUAAAGCUUUUAAAACUGUUAGGCUUGAGAGAUGAAAGGGAAAGUGGAAUUCCUAGUGUAGCGGUGAAAUGCGCAGAUAUUAGGAAGAAUACCGGUGGCGAAGGCGACUUUCUGGUCAUCAUCUGACGCUGAGGUACGAAAGUGUGGGUAGCAAACAGG
Molecule: ribosomal RNA, 402 nt
Filed under: Verrucomicrobiota bacterium
Lineage: Bacteria; Pseudomonadati; Verrucomicrobiota
Description: Verrucomicrobia bacterium partial 16S ribosomal RNA
Rfam family: Bacterial small subunit ribosomal RNA
Source: RNAcentral